GAACGAGAAAGUGGAGCAAUCCAUGAGUAAAGUGGCGACNCGGGUGAGUAACACGUGACUAACCUACCUUCGAAUGGGGGAUAACUCCGGGAAACCGGGGCUAAUACCGGCAAUAAUAUCUUCGGGAUGAAAAGCCGGAGAUCAAAGAAGCAAUUCGCUUGAAGAGGGGGUCGCGGCUGAUUAGUUAGUUGGCGGGGUAACGGCCCACCAAGACGAUGAUCAGUAGCCGGCCUGAGAGGGCGCACGGCCACACUGGAACUGAAACACGGUCCAGACUCCUACGGGAGGCAGCAGUGGGGAAUUUUGCACAAUGGGGGAAACCCUGAUGCAGCAACGCCGCGUGGAGGAUGAAGCCCCUUGGGGCGUAAACUCCUUUCGAUCGGGACGAUAAUGACGGUACCGGAAGAAGAAGCACCGGCUAACUCUGUG
RNAcentral lists this ribosomal RNA (429 nucleotides) under uncultured bacterium. Its description in RNAcentral is "bacterial SSU rRNA". It matches the Rfam family "Bacterial small subunit ribosomal RNA", at positions 64 to 507 of the family's 1533-position model. The record is from RNAcentral.